RNAcentral lists this ribosomal RNA (229 nucleotides) under uncultured bacterium. RNAcentral's name for it is "partial 16S ribosomal RNA". It matches the Rfam family "Bacterial small subunit ribosomal RNA", at positions 568 to 796 of the family's 1533-position model. The record is from RNAcentral.
UUCGUAGGCGGCGUAUUAAGUCAGUGGUGAAAUCCCUCGGCUCAACCGAGGAACUGCCAUUGAUACUGGUAUGCUAGAGUAUAGUUGGCGUAGGCGGAAUGUAUCAUGUAGCGGUGAAAUGCUUAGAUAUGAUACAGAACACCGAUCGCGAAGGCAGCUUACGAAACUAUAACUGACGCUCAGGAACGAAAGCGUGGGGAGCGAACAGGAUUAGAUACCCUGGUAGUCC